RNAcentral lists this long non-coding RNA (361 nucleotides) under Hordeum vulgare. RNAcentral describes it as "long non-coding RNA (HVUL_LNC007680)". The record is from RNAcentral. Lineage: Eukaryota; Viridiplantae; Streptophyta; Magnoliopsida; Poales; Poaceae.
AGGGCCGCCUGCAUUGCGGGUUGGACGAUGCCCUCAACACGGCACGGCUGCUUGCUGAGAUCAUGCGGCGCGGGGUCAAGAUGACCAUCACUGGCUCACUGGUGCCGCUGCCGCUGUUCGAGCAGGAGCAGCAGCCUCGCACAAGCACCUGCGGUGGCUCACUUGCGCCGGCGCCGCCGCCGUUCGAGCAGAAGCAGCAGCCUCGCACAAGCACCUGCGGUGGCCCACUUGUGCUGGCGCCGCCGAUUCAGCAGCAGCCGCCUUGCACAGGCCCUUGUGAUGGCUCGUUUCCGCUGGUGCUGGCGCCUAUCCAGCAGAAGCAGCAGCAGUGGCCGCAGCCUCACAUAAUCAGCCCCUGCGG